AGAGUUUAUCAGACGUUUGGCUAAGAUCAAGUGUAGUAUCUGUUCUUAUCAGUUUAAUAUCUGAUACAUCCUCUAUCCAAGGACAAUAUACUAACCGAUUUUUGGAGCACGGAGUUGGAAUAGGCGCUUGCUCCGUCACUGCACGCAUCGCCCUGGUAUUACAGUAUCUCCGGGAAUGGUGCAGUCCCU
Small nuclear RNA from Otolemur garnettii (small-eared galago), 189 nucleotides. Its record names the gene U2. It matches the Rfam family "U2 spliceosomal RNA". From Rfam's summary of the family: U2 is a small nuclear RNA (snRNA) component of the spliceosome (involved in pre-mRNA splicing). Complementary binding between U2 snRNA (in an area lying towards the 5' end but 3' to hairpin I) and the branchpoint sequence (BPS) of the intron results the bulging out of an unpaired adenosine, on the BPS, which initiates a nucleophilic attack at the intronic 5' splice site, thus starting the first of two transesterification reactions that mediate splicing. The record is from Ensembl. Lineage: Eukaryota; Metazoa; Chordata; Mammalia; Primates; Galagidae.